Molecule: ribosomal RNA, 460 nt
Filed under: uncultured bacterium
Lineage: Bacteria
Description: partial 16S ribosomal RNA
Rfam family: Bacterial small subunit ribosomal RNA
Source: RNAcentral
CCUACGGGAGGCUGCAGUGAGGAAUAUUGGUCAAUGGGCGCUAGCCUGAACCAGCCAAGUAGCGUGAAGGAUGACUGCCCUAUGGUUUGUAAACUUCUUUUAUAUGGGAAUAAAGUGCAGUAUGUAUACUGCUUUGCAUGUACCUUAUGAAACAGGAUCGGCUAACUACGUGCCAGCAGCCGCGGUAAUACGGAGGAUCCGAGCGUUAUCCGGAUUUAUUGGGUUUAAAGGGAGCGUAGGCGGGUUGUUAAGUCAGUUGUGAAAGUUUGCGGCGCAACCGUAAAAUUGCAGUUGAUACUGGGAUCCUUGAGUACAGUAGAGGUAGGCGGAAUUCGAGGUGUAGCGGUGAAAUGCUUAGAUAUCACGAAGAACUCCGAUUGCGAAGGCAGCCUGCUGGACUGUAACUGACGCUGAUGCUCGAAAGUGUGGGUAGCAAACAGGAUUAGAUACCCUGGUAGUC